CUGGAGGAUUUUGAAGGUUCCGUCGGAACGGAACCGGAGAGGGAGGUCGGAGAUCUUCUUCGUGCGGCGCACUGGUUCGCCGCCGAGGAAGAGAUUGCGUGGCAGAUGGAGUUGUGUGAAGUGGAGAAUUGCGAGUACGACGGUGAGGUAGAGCAGAGAGUGUUUGCAGUUUUUUUCUGGUGUUGGAGAAUAAUCCACCAUUGUUGCUGCUAGCUUUCUGUUUUCAGAUCGUGUUCAUCACAGGGUCGUUAACAACGAACAACCGUAGUAACAGCUUCACAGUUCGUUCAUUUUGGAUUAUUCAAACAUUGGGCCUUGCUCUUUGGGCCUCUUGUUGUGGAUCGUGUUCUGACUUUUGAGCCCAAAUACUGUAACAUAGGUUUGGGUUGAUUCGUUCUCAUUAAUUUUGAGAUUUAUCGGUUUUUUCCUUCAAAUGUACUGGUCACUUGAUCGGUUCUCAGUUCAAUGCAUCGACGAGGGAGGAAGUCUUGUGUGUUGUCUAAUAUGCAACACUUGGAAAACACAUAUGUCACUAAAUAGUUUGAGAUAUAAGUUUACUGUCAUUAAAAUGUUUUGUAAAUUUCAAACAUGUUCCUUUUCUUAACAUGAUAUUCACUCACUCCUCCAUCACUUUUGUCACCUAUCUCCGACAACUCAUCAUCCACCUCUAGCCAUCUCACUAUUAUGGAUAUGUCACAUCUUCACAAACCGCAAUCGUCAUCCAGGAUAGAGAAUCAGGUUGAGAAAAUACAUCGAACACAUAGGGUGCCGCUUCCAUUUACCCUCCCCAUGUUUGGUGUUUGCUGAGAUAUAUAAUUAAGUGUGUUCCAAGAUAAGGUACUUUUCUGCAAAGAAGACGUAACAUCAACAUAUGGAUCCCCUUUUUCUUUCUGACAAGGCUUCGGUGGAAAAGACGUCGUAGAAGGCAAUGGUGGCAUGAGGUAUUUUCAAUGUCAUGCAACGCAUUUCAAGAAGUGCGAAGGAUGUUGCACAAUAACAAAAGUGAUAACUGGCAUGUGCCAUUCCUAGUGGGUGAAAAUCCCUGGUGCUUAUCGUUUUAUACUGGCUUCGUGACAUAUAAUGCUACUAAUUAGGUUUUUUUUAAUUCUUUUUUUGGGUAUUUGCAAGUUUAUGAUUUUAUUUUUGAACAGCAAAAUUUCUCCUUCAAUGAUUUGAGCAUUGGACCUUUCAUUCCCCUUAUAUGUCCCCCAGCUCUUAUCCCUUAAACUCUUUCGGGGACAUUUGUGAAUUUAUGGUAAUCUAAUAUUGUGGUGGAAAAUUCGUUUGUCAAUAUAUAUAUAUAGAAGAGAUUGCGUGGCAGAUGGAGUUGUGUGAAGUGGAGAAUUGCGAGUACGACGGUGAGGUAGAGCAGAGAGUGUUUGCAGUUUUUUUCUGGUGUUGGAGAAUAAUCCACCAUUGUUGCUGCUAGCUUUCUGUUUUCAGAUCGUGUUCAU
RNAcentral lists this long non-coding RNA (1454 nucleotides) under Lotus japonicus. RNAcentral describes it as "long non-coding RNA (LJAP_LNC002208)". The record is from RNAcentral. Lineage: Eukaryota; Viridiplantae; Streptophyta; Magnoliopsida; Fabales; Fabaceae.